GUCCUUUAGAUGUUAAUUUAAGGUCUAACCUGCCCACUGAAUUAUUUUAAAUGGCCGCAGUAAUUUGACUGUGCAAAGGUAGCAUAAUCAUUAGUUUUUUAAUUGAAAGCUUGUAUGAAAGGUUGGACGAAGUAAAAUCUGUCUCUAAUUAAAUUAAUUUAGAAUUUAACUUUUAAGUUAAAAGGCUUAAAUCUAACUAAAAGACGAGAAGACCCUAUAGAUCUUUAUAUUUAAAUUAAUAAAUUUAAUUAAGAAUUUUUAAAAUUUUAUUAAUUUAAUUAUUUUAUUGGGGUAAUAUAAAGAUUAAAAUAAUUCUUUUUUUUUAUUAACAUUAAUUUAUGAUUUUGAUGAUCCAAUUAUAUUGAUUUUAAGAUUAAGUUACCUUAGGGAUAACAGCGUAAUUUUUUUAGAGAGUUCUUAUCGAUAAAAAAGUUUGCGACCUCGAUGUUGGAUUAAAGAUUAUUUUAGGUGUAGAAGCUUAAAAAUUUUGGUCUGUUCGACCAUUGAAUCUUUACAUGAUCUGAGUUCAGACCGGUGUAAGCCAGGUUGGUUUCUAUCUUUAGUAAAUUAAAAUAUUUUAGUACGAAAGGACCAAUUAUUUAAUAUAAAUAUUUAAAUUUUGAUUAUUAUUAA
This 633-nucleotide ribosomal RNA is filed under the name Nebria suturalis. RNAcentral's name for it is "partial large subunit ribosomal RNA". The stretch from base 389 to 548 matches the Rfam family "Bacterial large subunit ribosomal RNA", at positions 2473 to 2632 of the family's 2925-position model. The record is from RNAcentral. Lineage: Eukaryota; Metazoa; Arthropoda; Insecta; Coleoptera; Carabidae.